This 460-nucleotide ribosomal RNA is filed under the name uncultured bacterium. Its description in RNAcentral is "partial 16S ribosomal RNA". It matches the Rfam family "Bacterial small subunit ribosomal RNA", at positions 338 to 795 of the family's 1533-position model. The record is from RNAcentral.
CCUACGGGUGACAGCAGUGAGGAAUAUUGGUCAAUGGGCGGAAGCCUGAACCAGCCAAGUAGCGUGCAGGAUGACGGCCCUACGGGUUGUAAACUGCUUUUAUACGGGAAUAACGCGCCUUACGUGUAGGCCUUUGCAUGUACCGUUUGAAUAAGGACCGGCGAAUUCCGUGCCAGCAGCCGCGGUAAUACGGAAGGUCCGGGCGUUAUCCGGAUUUAUUGGGUUUAAAGGGAGCGUAGGCCGCAUGUCAAGCGUGCUGUGAAAUGUCCGGGCUCAACCCGGGCCGUGCAGCGCAAACUGGCGUGCUUGAGUGCGCGGAAAGCAGGCGGAAUUCGUGGUGUAGCGGUGAAAUGCUUAGAUAUGACGAAGAACCCCGAUUGCGAAGGCAGCUUGCUGCAGCGGAACUGACGCUGAUGCUCGAAAGCGCGGGUAUCGAACAGGAUUAGAUACCCGAGUAGUC